UGAGGGCGUGCUUUGACUCGUGCCGUGAGGUGUUAGGUUAAGUCCUGCAACGAGCGCAACCCCUGUCACUAGUUGCCAUCAUUAAGUUGGGGACUCUAGUGAGACUGCCUACGCAAGUAGAGAGGAAGGUGGGGAUGACGUCAAAUCAUCACGGCCCUUACGCCUUGGGCCACACACGUAAUACAAUGGCCGGUACAGAGGGCAGCUACACAGCGAUGUGAUGCAAAUCUCGAAAGCCGGUCUCAGUUCGGAUUGGAGUCUGCAACUCGACUCUAUGAAGCUGGAAUCGCUAGUAAUCGCGCAUCAGCCAUGGCGCGGUGAAUACGUUCCCGGGCCUUGUACACACCGCCCGUCAAGCCAUGGAAGUCUGGGGUACCUGAAGUCGGUGACCGUAACAGGAGCUGCCUUUUCCUUACCCAUC
Molecule: ribosomal RNA, 421 nt
Filed under: bacterium 28S125
Lineage: Bacteria
Description: bacterial SSU rRNA
Rfam family: Bacterial small subunit ribosomal RNA
Source: RNAcentral